Molecule: small RNA, 568 nt
Filed under: Pongo abelii (Sumatran orangutan)
Lineage: Eukaryota; Metazoa; Chordata; Mammalia; Primates; Hominidae
Description: retained intron
Source: RNAcentral
GACUGGCCCAUCUUCUGCUAGUGGGGAUGAGAGUCAAUGGCAUGUCUCUCAGUGGCCCCUCCCUGCAAGAACCCUACAGUGACCCCAGUGCGAGCUAACCUUCCCCAUCUCAGAUCCAGGCCCUGGAGGAUAGCUGGCCAGCAGUAGGUCUGGGGCCAGGGCAUGCCCGCCAUGUGCUGCGCAGCCUGGUAAACCAGAGUGUCCAGGAUGGUGAGGAGCAGGUACGCAGGUGGCAUAUGAACUUCUGGGUGUGUUGCGCUCAUCUGGAGGAGCAGUGCUGAGCCCCCGGGAGCUGCGGGUCUGGGCCCCUCUCUUCCCUCAGCUGGGCCUCCACUUCCUGCAGGAGCUGUCAGAGCCCCAGCUUAGAGCCAUGCUUCCUGUCCUGCAGGGAACUAGUGUUACACCUGCUCAGGCUGUCCUGCUGCUUGGACGGCUCCUUCCUAGGCACGAUCUAUCCCUGGAGGAACUCUGCUCCUUGCACCUUCUGCUACCAGGCCUCAGCCCCCAGACACUCCAGGCCAUCCCUAGGCGAGUCCUGGUCGGGGCUUGUUCCUGCCUGGCCCCUGAA